GACCUCCGUGGAUGGCGUAUGAGGAGCCAUGCAUAUCCUCAUACAUAUAUAAUUAUGUUUUGGUACCAAUUGAAUUGUGUUGAUGAGCUUGUUUUGUAGAAGUCUCUGUUCAUUGCCUCAUCAUGUGUAGAAGAGAUUAGAGAUACGAAAACUUUAAUGUUAUUAAAUUGGAGAAACCCUAGGAAAGGGUGAGCCUGCGGUGCCUGUAAUUAUUCCAAGCAUCCAUCCAACCACGCGUGAGACUGUUGACACAAACACACAUGACAAUGUAUAGCCUCAACUUUUUAUAGUUUUCUAUUCACUAUUUCUUCUUUUCUAAGAAGAAAUUGUUAAUUACUUUUUCUUCAUUUUUAUGAUUCUUUUGUAUAUAAACAUAUUUUAUUUAUGUAAAUAUUAACUAUACGUAAA
This 408-nucleotide non-coding RNA is filed under the name Arabidopsis thaliana (thale cress). The record is from RNAcentral. Lineage: Eukaryota; Viridiplantae; Streptophyta; Magnoliopsida; Brassicales; Brassicaceae.